RNAcentral lists this long non-coding RNA (773 nucleotides) under Homo sapiens (human). RNAcentral describes it as "non-protein coding lnc-SAMD5-2:2". Lineage: Eukaryota; Metazoa; Chordata; Mammalia; Primates; Hominidae. The record is from RNAcentral.
AUUUGGGAGGUUGAACAUUUGAGCAAGCUCAGAAUAAUAGAUAAGGGGUGACAUAUGUUUGAACUGAUUUACAGAGGAGAAACACUAGAUACAUUUGGUGAUAAAAGAUUUUCUACACUGAGUGGAGGCAGAGAUCCGUGGUUUUGCUAUUGGAAAGUGGCGGGGCAACAAUGGUCUACUAUCUAGGAUCUGCAAAGAACUUAAACAAAUUAACAAGCAAAAAACAACCCCAUUGAAAAGUGGGCAAAGCCGUUAACAGACGUUUCUCAAAAAGCCGUUAACAGACAUACAAGCAUCCAACAAACGUAUGAACAAAUGCUCACCGUCACAAAUCAUGAGUGAAAUGCAAAUCAAAACCACAAUGGGAUACCACCUCACACCAGUCGGAAUGGCUAUUACUAAAAAGUCAAAGAAUAACAUGUGUUGGUGAGGCUAUAAAGGAAAGGAAACACAUACACUGUUGGUGGGGAUGUAGAUUGGUUCAGCCAGCAUGGAAAGCAGUUUGAACAUCUCUCAAAGUACUAAAAAUGGUGCUACCAUUUGACCCAGCAGUCCCAUUACUGAGUAUAUACCCCAAGGAAAAUAAAUCGUUCUACCAAAAAGACACAUAUACUCAAAUGUUCAUUGCAGCACUAUUCACAACAGCAAAGACAUGGAAUCAGCCUCGAUGCUCAUCAGUAGUGAACUGGAUAAAGAAAAUGUGGUACAUAUGCACCAUGGAAUACUAUGCAGCCAUAAAAAGAAUGAAAUCUUGUCCCUCCCAGCAACAUGGA